This 377-nucleotide ribosomal RNA is filed under the name uncultured cyanobacterium. RNAcentral's name for it is "SSU rRNA". It matches the Rfam family "Bacterial small subunit ribosomal RNA", at positions 376 to 767 of the family's 1533-position model. The record is from RNAcentral. Lineage: Bacteria; Bacillati; Cyanobacteriota.
CGAAAGCCUGACGGGGCAACGCCGCGUGAGGGAUGAAGGCCUCUGGGCUGUAAACCUCUUUUCUCAAGGAAGAAGAUCUGACGGUACUUGAGGAAUAAGCCACGGCUAAUUCCGUGCCAGCAGCCGCGGUAAUACGGGAGUGGCAAGCGUUAUCCGGAAUUAUUGGGCGUAAAGCGUCCGCAGGCGGCCUUUCAAGUCUGCUGUUAAGCCGUGGAGCUUAACUCCAUCAAGGCAGUGGAAACUGUUGGGCUUGAGUAUGGUAGGGGCAGAGGGAAUUCCCGGUGUAGCGGUGAAAUGCGUAGAUAUCGGGAAGAACACCAGUGGCGAAGGCGCUCUGCUUGGGCCAUUACUGACGCUCAUGGACGAAAGCCAGGGGA